AGGGGUGUAGCUCAGUUGGUAGAGCAUCGGAUUCCAAAUCCGACGGUCGGGGGUUCGAGUCCCUCCGCCCCUG
RNAcentral lists this transfer RNA (73 nucleotides) under Roseicyclus elongatus DSM 19469. Its description in RNAcentral is "Roseibacterium elongatum DSM 19469 tRNA". It matches the Rfam family "tRNA". Rfam says of the family: Transfer RNA (tRNA) molecules are approximately 80 nucleotides in length. The record is from Rfam by way of RNAcentral. Lineage: Bacteria; Pseudomonadati; Pseudomonadota; Alphaproteobacteria; Rhodobacterales; Roseobacteraceae. RNAcentral also lists the same sequence under 1 other name.